RNAcentral lists this ribosomal RNA (397 nucleotides) under uncultured bacterium. RNAcentral describes it as "partial 16S ribosomal RNA". It matches the Rfam family "Bacterial small subunit ribosomal RNA", at positions 523 to 918 of the family's 1533-position model. The record is from RNAcentral.
AUACGUAGGGGGCGAGCGUUGUCCGGAAUGAUUGGGCGUAAAGGGCGCGCAGGCGGCUUUGCAAGUCAGUAGUGGAAGUCCAUUUUUCAAGGAUGGAAGUGCUACAGAAACUGCGGAGCUUGAGUGCAGGAGAGGUUAUCGGAAUUCCCGGUGUAGCGGUGAAAUGCGUAGAGAUCGGGAGGAACACCAGUGGCGAAGGCGGGUAACUGGGCUGCAACUGACGCGGAGGCGCGAAAGUGUGGGGAGCAAACAGGAUUAGAUACCCUGGUAGUCCACGCUGUAAACGAUGGAUACUAGGUGUAGGGGGUAUCGACUCCCUCUGUGCCGGAGCGAACGCAAUAAGUAUCCCGCCUGGGGAGUACGGCCGCAAGGUUGAAACUCAAAUGAAUUGACGGGG